GGGGGUGUAGCUCAGUGGUAGAGUGUUUGACUGCAAAUUAAAAGGUCCUUGGUUCAAAUCCUAUUGCCACCU
Non-coding RNA from Gopherus flavomarginatus (Mexican gopher tortoise), 72 nucleotides. NCBI's taxonomy places the organism in Eukaryota, Metazoa, Chordata, Testudines, Testudinidae. The record is from the annotation of a RefSeq genome assembly.